UAAUGUGUGACAGUUUCAACAGCUGUGUAUAAUUUUCUGACAGAUUUCUUGGUCUUUUUCCCUCUACCAUGAAGUUCCCCAACUCUUUUCCUUGGCUUUUAAAGAAUCCCUAGUAUUGGCACGGGCUUGAGAAGGGAGUACCUGACCAGCUGCUCUCAAUUCCUGUUUACCUAAACAGCUGAAGAACCAGCUGCCCCUCUGAGUCACUGGAAGGCCAGUAUGCCUUGCUGCAGAUCUUUCAGAGAACAUUCCAACACUUUGUCCCAGGAUUAACAGUCCAAAAACAUGUAUUAAAAAGAAAUGCUCAAUCA
This is a long non-coding RNA of Tyto alba (common barn owl), 311 nucleotides long. RefSeq lists it as uncharacterized. Lineage: Eukaryota; Metazoa; Chordata; Aves; Strigiformes; Tytonidae. The record is from RefSeq and is a predicted model, not a curated record. The transcript is spliced from 2 exons.